This 235-nucleotide ribosomal RNA is filed under the name uncultured Staphylococcus sp. RNAcentral's name for it is "partial 16S ribosomal RNA". It matches the Rfam family "Bacterial small subunit ribosomal RNA", at positions 105 to 334 of the family's 1533-position model. Lineage: Bacteria; Bacillati; Bacillota; Bacilli; Caryophanales; Staphylococcaceae. The record is from RNAcentral.
GGUAGUAACACGUGGAUAACCUACCUAUAAGGACUGGGAUAACUUCGGGAAACCGGAGCUAAUACCGGAUAAUAUAUUGAACCGCAUGGUUCAAUAGUGAAAGACGGUUUUGCUGUCACUUAUAGAUGGAUCCGCGCCGCAUUAGCUAGUUGGUAAGGUAACGGCUUACCAAGGCAACGAUGCGUAGCCGACCUGAGAGGGUGAUCGGCCACACUGGAACUGAGACACGGUCCAG